This 424-nucleotide ribosomal RNA is filed under the name uncultured bacterium. RNAcentral describes it as "bacterial SSU rRNA". It matches the Rfam family "Bacterial small subunit ribosomal RNA", at positions 43 to 524 of the family's 1533-position model. The record is from RNAcentral.
CAGGCCUAACAAUGCAAGUCGAGCGCCCCGCAAGGGGAGCGGCAGACGGGAGAGUAACACUGGGAACGUGCCCUUUGGUUCGGAAUAACCCAGGGAAACUUGGACUAAUCCGAAUAAGCCCUAACGGGGAAAGAUUUAUCGCCGAAGGAGCGGCCCGCUCUGAUUAGCUUGUUGGUGAGGUAAUGGCUCACCAAGGGGACGAUCAGUGCUGGUCUAAGAGGAUGAUCAGCCUCACUGGGACUGAGACACGGCCCAGCCCCUACGGGAGGCAGCAGUGGGGAAUAUUGGACAAUGGGGGAAACCCUAUCCAGCCAUGCCGCGUGAGUGAUGAAGGCCCUAGGGUUGUAAAGCUCUUCAGCGGGGAAGAUAAUGACGGUACCCGCAGAAGAAGCCCCGGCUAACUCGUGCCAGCAGCCGCGGUAAU